CGCUGGCGGCGUGCUUAACACAUGCAAGUCGAACGAGAAUCUACGGAUCGAGGAUUCGUCCAAGAGAAGUAGAGGACAGUGGCGGACGGGUGAGUAACGCGUGAGGAACCUGCCUUUCAGAGGGGGGACAACAGUUGGAAACGACUGCUAAUACCGCAUAACCCGCUAGGGCCGCAUGGCCCGGACGGAAAAGGAGCAAUCCGGUAUGAGAUGGACCCGCGUCUGAUUAGCUGGUUGGUGGGGUAACGGCCUACCAAGGCAACGAUCAGUAGCCGAACUGAGAGGUUGACCGGCCACAUUGGGACUGAGACACGGCCCAAACUCCUACGGGAGGCAGCAGUGGGGAAUAUUGCACAAUGGGGGAAACCCUGAUGCAGCGACGCCGCGUGAGUGAAGAAGUAUUUCGGUAUGUAAAGCUCUAUCAGCAGGGAAGAAAAUGACGGUACCUGACUAAGAAGCCCCGGCUAACUACGUG
Molecule: ribosomal RNA, 475 nt
Filed under: uncultured bacterium
Lineage: Bacteria
Description: bacterial SSU rRNA
Rfam family: Bacterial small subunit ribosomal RNA
Source: RNAcentral